RNAcentral lists this ribosomal RNA (495 nucleotides) under uncultured bacterium. RNAcentral's name for it is "partial 16S ribosomal RNA". It matches the Rfam family "Bacterial small subunit ribosomal RNA", at positions 28 to 507 of the family's 1533-position model. The record is from RNAcentral.
GACGAACGCUGGCGGCGUGCCUAAUACAUGCCAGUAGAACGCUGAAGGAGGAGCUUGCUUCUCUGGAUGAGUUGCGAACGGGUGAGUAACGCGUAGGUAACCUGCCUGGUAGCGGGGGAUAACUAUUGGAAACGAUAGCUAAUACCGCAUAAGAGUAGAUGUUGCAUGACAUUUGCUUAAAAGGUGCAAUUGCAUCACUACCAGAUGGACCUGCGUUGUAUUAGCUAGUUGGUGGGGUAACGGCUCACCAAGGCGACGAUACAUAGCCGACCUGAGAGGGGGAUCGGCCACACUGGGACUGAGACACGGCCCAGACUCCUACGGGAGGCAGCAGUAGGGAAUCUUCGGCAAUGGACGGAAGUCUGACCGAGCAACGCCGCGUGAGUGAAGAAGGUUUUCGGAUCGUAAAGCUCUGUUGUAAGAGAAGAAUGAGUGUGAGAGUGGAAAGUUCACACUGUGACGGUAUCUUACCAGAAAGGGACGGCUAACUACGUG